RNAcentral lists this unclassified non-coding RNA (508 nucleotides) under uncultured Glomus. Its description in RNAcentral is "SSU rRNA". It matches the Rfam family "Eukaryotic small subunit ribosomal RNA", at positions 569 to 1081 of the family's 1831-position model. Lineage: Eukaryota; Fungi; Glomeromycota; Glomeromycetes; Glomerales; Glomeraceae. The record is from RNAcentral.
AGCAGCCGCGGUAAUUCCAGCUCCAAUAGCGUAUAUUAAAGUUGUUGCAGUUAAAAGCUCGUAGUUGAAUUUCGGGGUUAGCAGGUCGGUCGUGCCAUCGGUAUGAACUGGUCUCGCUGAUCCCUCCCUCUUGACGAACUGUGAUGCCAUUAAUUUGGUGUCGCAGGGAAUCAGGACUGUUACUUUGAAAAAUUGAGUGUUUAAAGCAGGCUCACGCUUGAAUACAUUAGCAUGGAAUAAUGAAAUAGGACGUUUGAUCCUAUUUUGUUGGCUUCUAGGAUUGACGUAAUGAUUAAUAGGGAUAGUUGGGGGCAUUAGUAUUCAAUUGUCAGAGGUGAAAUUCUUGGAUUUAUUGAAGACUAACUACUGCGAAAGCAUUUGCCAAGGAUGUUUUCAUUAAUCAAGAACGAAAGUUAGGGGAUCGAAGACGAUCAGAUACCGUCGUAGUCUUAACCAUAAACUAUGCCGACUAGGGAUCGGAUGAUGUUAAUUUUUUAAUGACUCAUUC